AUGUUUGAGGUUCUAAUUCGUAACAGAUUGUAGGCUUCAACGUCAGUGAAUUUUUGCGUUGCUUGUGCUAACUGCGGACUGUGUUUCAAGAUGUGCAAGAUAAAAUAUGCGACCGGCGAUCUGUUCUCCGCUCCAAACCAGGAAUCAUUAGCGCACUGCGUUAGUGAAGAUUUACGAAUGGGGAAGGGAAUCGCAGUUUUAUUCAAAAAGAAUUUUGGUCGAGUCACCGAGUUAAAGGAGCAGAGUGAGUUUUUUUUUUUUUUAAAAAAAAGAGAGAAAUUGCGCAUCCUCGCCAUGGCGGUGCUAUCUGAAUCUCAGUACAAUGAACUAUUAGGGGAUCUCGUCUUGCAAGAUACGGAGAGGACGAGCGUACCGCAGUUACAGUACGAUUUACAGGGGGAUCGAGUCACUAGAGCUGCAAGGAGAGUGCAACGGAGACCGGAUAAUUCUACACAAAACGAAAAACGGAGCCGUCGUCUUACAAGCGUCAAUCCUAUCGAGGGGUCAAGACGUAGAGGAAUUAAACCGCAGAACAAGCUUUCCAUCGUUAAUGAAUUAAUUUCAGAGGCUCUAAUGCUUAUCCACGCGGUUCCUGGUUCUGCUUCUGAUCGCAUAUUGAGCAGGAAGAGACGGAUCAGACAUCACCGUCUUAUGGAACGAGACAAUAAGGCGUCUGUUACCGCAUUACUGGAUGCAAGUCAAAUCCUCUUACGUGUACGUUA
Poecilia latipinna (sailfin molly) is the source of this 722-nucleotide long non-coding RNA. RefSeq lists it as uncharacterized. The transcript has 5 exons. The record is from RefSeq and is a predicted model, not a curated record. Lineage: Eukaryota; Metazoa; Chordata; Actinopteri; Cyprinodontiformes; Poeciliidae.